GUGGGGAAUCUUGCGCAAUGGGCGAAAGCCUGACGCAGCCAUGCCGCGUGAAUGAUGAAGGUCUUAGGAUUGUAAAAUUCUUUCACCGGGGACGAUAAUGACGGUACCCGGAGAAGAAGCCCCGGCUAACUUCGUGCCAGCAGCCGCGGUAAUACGAAGGGGGCUAGCGUUGCUCGGAAUUACUGGGCGUAAAGGGCGCGUAGGCGGACAGUUUAGUCAGAGGUGAAAGCCCAGGGCUCAACCUUGGAAUUGCCUUUGAUGCUGGCUGUAUUGAGUACGGGAGAGGUGAGUGGAACUCCGAGUGUAGAGGUGAAAUUCGUAGAUAUUCGGAAGAACACCAGUGGCGAAGGCGACUCACUGGCCCGUUACUGACGCUGAGGCGCGAAAGCGUGGGGAGCAAACAGGAUUAGAAACCCUUGUAGUCC
Molecule: ribosomal RNA, 425 nt
Filed under: uncultured bacterium
Lineage: Bacteria
Description: partial 16S ribosomal RNA
Rfam family: Bacterial small subunit ribosomal RNA
Source: RNAcentral